Molecule: long non-coding RNA, 216 nt
Filed under: Vigna radiata
Lineage: Eukaryota; Viridiplantae; Streptophyta; Magnoliopsida; Fabales; Fabaceae
Description: long non-coding RNA (VRAD_LNC013911)
Source: RNAcentral
AAGAAUGUUCUGGAAAAAAUCAACAGAAAUCAAUUCUUCAUUCAAAUCAAAGGUAUUUUUACAAAUGGGCAGUUUGGUAUUUAAAGGAAACUCAUUGCCUCUAGUCAAGCCUCUUCUUGGCUGAAUGUUGACUAAGAUACAAGGAGUAAGUGCCUAGCUGUGCAAGUGUGAAGAAAACAUGAAGAGCCAUGUGGAGAUCUCUUGAGUCUGUUGAAC